RNAcentral lists this long non-coding RNA (1590 nucleotides) under Gossypium barbadense (sea-island cotton). Its description in RNAcentral is "long non-coding RNA (GBAR_LNC014608)". The record is from RNAcentral. Lineage: Eukaryota; Viridiplantae; Streptophyta; Magnoliopsida; Malvales; Malvaceae.
UGAAAAUAUUAGUAAAAAUAAGCAUAUAUCUGCAACUAAAAACAGAGAUAAUGAGGAAAGAGAUAGUUUAAUUAUAUUCAUACCUGAAAUCAAUCUCCGAUGAUGUAGGGGGUUUCAAGAAUUAGAAAAAGAAAAGAAACAGCAAAAAAAAUAAAACAAAAAACGGAAUUUAGUUACCCGAAGCUAAAAAAAUUUGAGGAAAAAAUUGAAAGGGUAUUGAGAGAGAGAUAGAGACGGCGUAUGAAUGGGAGAGCUAUAGAUUGAGGAAACACAGGAAAAGAGGCUGAGAAAAGAAAAAACAAGAGAGAAGGAAAAUAUUUGUAAAGAAGGUAAAAAAAAGUAGAUAAAAUGGGAGAAAGGAACGUUAGAAAUAUAGGAAAAAUAGGACAGAAUAUGGGAAUAAGGUGGUCAUUUACUGCCAACUGGUAAGUUUCACUUAUUGUAAUAUUUAUGAAAAAAACAAAAAGAGAAAAUUCCCAGUACAAUUUUAGAUUUUUUGAUUCCCAUUUAAGUAAUUGACAGACUUUUUUUAUUGUUGAUUUCUAAACCUGAAAACCAAAUGCCAUAAAAUAAACCAAGAAAUACCAGUACAAUAACAUAGUUCUUAAAUUAAAAGAGAAACAGAAAAGACAAUGUUGAAGCAAAGAUUCAUACCUGACGCAAGGGAAUCCAAAAAUCCCAAAAACAGAAACGGCAGAGAAAAUCACAGUAUAGUGUGUCUUUGAAUUCUUUCGGGAUAUAAGAGGUAAAAUUUGAAAUGAGACAGACAUAAUAAAGGAGAGAAUAAAAGGGGAAGAAAUGCUAGAAAAAAAAGGAAAAUGAGGAGAGAAUAAGCUAUGAAAACAUGCCCAUUAUCACAAGCCACAGAAACUAAUCAGAAAACCGAAAACCAUGACCAUUAUCAAAGCCCAAAAAAACAGGACAACUAUCCCAAGUCGCAAAAAACCAAUGGCCACAUAGGCCCUGAACAAAAAGAACACGAACCCGAUCCAAAUACCACGAAACCGUCCCAUCUAAACAAACCACCCCAAAACAGAGAUGACAAAGAACCAAAAACUCAAACAAAAGCAGACUGAAAAACAAGGAAAGAAGCAUUGAUAUGAUAAUUAAAAUAGAGAUAAAAAGGUAGAGACUAGAGACAAACUUAUUCUAAAGAUGAAAACAAAAAAUCAACAGAGAAAAAAAAAGCAUAGAUCUGAAAUUAAAAAAAUACAAGAAAAGGCAAAUACACAGUUAACGUAAAUAUUCAUACCUGAAAUGACUCUCCCAUGAAGCAGGGAAUUUCAACAUCACAACAAACAGAACCGGCAGAGAAAAACUUAUGGGCUUCUCCCUCUCACAAAAACUAUCUUCCUACUGUUGAGUGUUUGUGUCUGUGUUUUGCCUGUGGUUACACAAAGCUAUAAAAGAAUGACAGGAAAAAAAUAAAAAGAGACCAAAAGAGAAUCCACGAAGUACGAGAUGGGAGGAAGAGAGAAUAAUGAAAACAAAAAAGAAAGAGGGAAUGUAUGGAAUGAAGCAUGAUUUGAGUAUUUAAAAUUUGGGAAGGAAGUGGGAUGUGAAAAGGCUAAAGAAAACGGGCAGCGGGGC